GGGUGAGUAAUGCAUCGGAAUGUACCGUGUAAUGGGGGAUAGCUCGGCGAAAGCCGGAUUAAUACCGCAUACGCCCUGAGGGGGAAAGUGGGGGACCGAAAGGCCUCACGUUAUACGAGCAGCCGAUGUCUGAUUAGCUAGUUGGUGGGGUAAAGGCUCACCAAGGCGACGAUCAGUAGCGGGUCUGAGAGGAUGAUCCGCCACACUGGGACUGAGACACGGCCCAGACUCCUACGGGAGGCAGCAGUGGGGAAUUUUGGACAAUGGGCGCAAGCCUGAUCCAGCCAUGCCGCGUGUCUGAAGAAGGCCUUCGGGUUGUAAAGGACUUUUGUCCGGGAGCAAAUCCCAGUGGUUAACACCUACUGGGGCUGAGAGUACCGGAAGAAUAAGCACCGGCUAACUACGUGCCAGCAGCCGCGGUAAUACGUAGGGUGCAAGCGUUAAUCGGAAUUACUGGGCGUAAAGCGUGCGCAGGCGGUUGUGCAAGUCUGAUGUGAAAGCCCCGGGCUUAACCUGGGAACGGCAUUGGAGACUGCACGACUAGAGUGCGUCAGAGGGGGGUAGAAUUCCGCGUGUAGCAGUGAAAUGCGUAGAGAUGCGGAGGAAUACCGAUGGCGAA
RNAcentral lists this ribosomal RNA (619 nucleotides) under Chromobacterium haemolyticum. Its description in RNAcentral is "bacterial SSU rRNA". It matches the Rfam family "Bacterial small subunit ribosomal RNA", at positions 104 to 719 of the family's 1533-position model. The record is from RNAcentral. Lineage: Bacteria; Pseudomonadati; Pseudomonadota; Betaproteobacteria; Neisseriales; Chromobacteriaceae.